CGAGGGACCCGCAACUCUGAGCCUCACCGUGCGCCAGCAUCCCGCGGGUCCCGAAGGCGCCCUUGCCUGCCCGGGGACCUCAGCCUAGGCUGAAGCCCAGUGUAGGGGUCGAGGGAGUCUGUGGGUGUGGGUGCGGUAGAGUGGGUGUGAGCGAGUGAGGGCGUGGGCCUGGGAGCGUCCGCGGGACCUGGCAGCUCAAGCUGCCCUGUCCUUUCCGCCCCCUCUCCCUUGCCCCUUAUCCUUUUACCCAAACUCCUUGGGCAGGGACUGGGCAACAGAGAACGAGAUUCCCACUCCAUUUUUUUUUUAAAGAAAAACUUAGUAGCCUCUGUUUUGUUUUUUGGUUUUAAUUCUUUUUAGCUUUAACGAGUAAGGGCUGCACUCCCGGCUCGGUUUUGAUAAUUAGACUCCAGACACCCCCCGCCCCCACUGCCUCAGUGCUCAUUCGGCGGAAACACCUACGAGGGGAUGCGCUCCCCCUUCCCCCAAAGCCAGACCACCGGGGUCCGGCCUUCGCUUUCCUGGCUCGCUGUGGAUAUAUAUAUAUAUAUAUAUAUAUAUAUAUAUAUAUAUAUAUAUAUAAUAUGUGUUUUUUUCUGCGCCGCCAGAACAGCAUCAGCUGGGGUUCCCGGAGGUCAGAAAAUGUCUAUUGAUUAAUCUAUUAGAAUAGUUGCCGAGAGAAAUAAAAACGACGUAAUAUAACAGGGAACCCAUAAAUAAAGAAGCCUAACUAGCUGCUGGGAGUUGUUAAACGACUUAGCAUGUGAAAAAGUCGGAAAUGAGGUGCUGGGGAAGGAGCCGGGAUUGGCCGCGGCCUGGGACUUAGAUAAACCCUCCAAGAUUUAACUUCCUCGGAAACCAUCAGAAGAGCGGGUGGAGGAGGAGGCGAGGAUGCGGCCAGUGCACAGCGAGUUUCCCGGGCAAGGAAAGUCAGUGAUGGCUCCGAACCGAUUACGAUGCCAUCUAGACAGCCUCGGGUGAAACCGACCAGAGCGGCGAGGUGGCCACCCACUUCCCCCAGCUGCAGAGGUCGCGGCUGCAACUGUCUGAGCAACCCAGUCCUUACAAAAGGAAGGUCCGAAGGACAAAAACGAACAAAAAAAAGAAACCGAAAUUUACAAAUUCAGAAAUAUCUUUUGCUCGGCUUCGGUUGUCCAGCCCCAGAGGCAGUCCGCGCGGGCCGCUGGAAGAGGCUGGGCCGGCGAGGACAAGUGCACGUGUGUGUGCGCGCACAGGGGAGGGUGGCGGCUCCAGGGGCAGCCCUCCGCAAUCUUCUUGAAGUAGCCUCUUAAAUGAGCCUAAUUUCGAUUCCACUGCCCGCCAGGGCUGUCUCUCAGGCUCCCUCGGCGCUGCUGCUCUCUGCCUCUCACCCUCCCCCGGCCAAGACUUGUCCUGAUCCGUCCAUUCCCCGGUGUCUCAUUGGAACCUCCCUGGGGGAAAGGGUGGGGGAUGAACAACUCCCAGCCGCCAAUUCCAUUUGUU
This is a long non-coding RNA of Rhinolophus ferrumequinum (greater horseshoe bat), 1482 nucleotides long. RefSeq lists it as uncharacterized. NCBI's taxonomy places the organism in Eukaryota, Metazoa, Chordata, Mammalia, Chiroptera, Rhinolophidae. The record is from RefSeq and is a predicted model, not a curated record. The transcript has 3 exons.